CUGAAGAGUUUGAUCAUGGCUCAGAUUGAACGCUGGCGGUAUGCUUAACACAUGCAAGUCGAACGGAAAGGCCCUGCUUUUGUGGGGUGCUCGAGUGGCGAACGGGUGAGUAACACGUGAGUAACCUGCCCUUGACUUUGGGAUAACUUCAGGAAACUGGGG
RNAcentral lists this ribosomal RNA (162 nucleotides) under Schmidingerella taraikaensis. Its description in RNAcentral is "partial Bacterial small subunit ribosomal RNA". It matches the Rfam family "Bacterial small subunit ribosomal RNA", at positions 1 to 162 of the family's 1533-position model. Lineage: Eukaryota; Ciliophora; Spirotrichea; Tintinnida; Rhabdonellidae. The record is from RNAcentral.